GCAGUCGCCGCGGGAAUACAGAGGGUGCGAGCGUUAAUCGGAUUUACUGGGCGUAAAGCGUGCGUAGGCGGCUUCUUAAGUCGGAUGUGAAAUCCCUGAGCUUAACUUAGGAAUUGCAUUCGAUACUGGGAAGCUAGAGUAUGGGAGAGGAUGGUAGAAUUCCAGGUGUAGCGGUGAAAUGCGUAGAGAUCUGGAGGAAUACCGAUGGCGAAGGCAGCCAUCUGGCCUAAUACUGACGCUGAGGUACGAAAGCAUGGGGAGCAAACAGGAUUAGAUACCCCGGUAGUCCCUGUCUCUUAUAC
RNAcentral lists this ribosomal RNA (302 nucleotides) under uncultured bacterium. RNAcentral's name for it is "partial 16S ribosomal RNA". It matches the Rfam family "Bacterial small subunit ribosomal RNA", at positions 508 to 807 of the family's 1533-position model. The record is from RNAcentral.